Molecule: ribosomal RNA, 443 nt
Filed under: uncultured Leptotrichia sp.
Lineage: Bacteria; Fusobacteriati; Fusobacteriota; Fusobacteriia; Fusobacteriales; Leptotrichiaceae
Description: bacterial SSU rRNA
Rfam family: Bacterial small subunit ribosomal RNA
Source: RNAcentral
CCUACGGGCGGCUGCAGUGGGGAAUAUUGGACAAUGGGGGCAACCCUGAUCCAGCAAUUCUGUGUGCACGAAGAAGGUUUUCGGAUUGUAAAGUGCUUUCAGCAGGGAAGAAGAGAGUGACGGUACCUGCAGAAGAAGCGACGGCUAAAUACGUGCCAGCAGCCGCGGUAAUACGUAUGUCGCGAGCGUUAUCCGGAAUUAUUGGGCAUAAAGGGCAUCUAGGCGGCCAGGCAAGUCUGGGGUGAAAACUUGCGGCUCAACCGCAAGCCUGCCCUGGAAACUGCCUGGCUAGAGUGCUGGAGAGGUGGACGGAACUGCACGAGUAGAGGUGAAAUUCGUAGAUAUGUGCAGGAAUGCCGAUGAUGAAGAUAGUUCACUGGACGGCAACUGACGCUGAAGUGCGAAAGUUGGGGGAGCGAACAGGAUUAGAUACCCCGGUAGUC